This 365-nucleotide ribosomal RNA is filed under the name uncultured bacterium. RNAcentral's name for it is "partial 16S ribosomal RNA". It matches the Rfam family "Bacterial small subunit ribosomal RNA", at positions 338 to 720 of the family's 1533-position model. The record is from RNAcentral.
GCUACGGGAGGCAGCAGUGGGGAAUAUUCCACAAUGGGGGAAACCCUGAUGCAGCGACGCCGCGUGCGUGAAGAAGUAUUUCGGUAUGUAAAGUGCUAUCAGCAGGGAAGAAAAUGACGGUACCUGAUUAAGAAGCCCCGGCUAACUACGUGCCAGCAGCCGCGGUAAUACGUAGGGGGAACGCGUUAUCCGGAUUUACUGGGUGUAAAGGGAGCGUAGACGGUAGCACAUGUCUGGAGUGAAAUGCCGGGGCUUAACCCCGGAACUGCUUUGGAAACUGUGCAGCUAGAGUGUAGGAGAGGUAAGGGGAAUUCCAAGUGUAGCGGUGAAAUGCGUAGUGAUAAGGAGGAACACCAGUGGAGAAG